Molecule: long non-coding RNA, 1162 nt
Filed under: Phasianus colchicus (ring-necked pheasant)
Lineage: Eukaryota; Metazoa; Chordata; Aves; Galliformes; Phasianidae
Description: lncRNA (ENSPCLG00000011234.1)
Source: RNAcentral
GGAGAAGACAGCUGAAGGUGAGCCAAAGGACAAGAUUGCCCUGCUGACCCUAUAGGGGCAGGUAUAUGUUCCUUCCGUGGCUUCUCGAGCUGUGGUCUGUGGAGUAGGAAUAGCGCAUGAGGUCAUUCCUGCUGAUACCCACAAUGAAACAUUAGAAAAGCAUACGCGACAAUUGGUAUGUCAGUGGGGAAGGACUAAUGUGCCGCAUUGCCCUUUCCUCAUCAAACCGGGCUGUACAGAAUUGCUCUGGCCAUUGUUUAUUUGCAGAUCGAUAUCACUAUUCUUUGGGUUUUGUUGUUGGUUGGUUGGUUUUCUUGCUUGUCCCUUCCUUAUUUGUACAUAUUCUUUUAUUCCAUCUUUUUUCAAUUCCUUUUUGGGCUCGAUGCUGUGAACAGCAGCUGGCAUCGUUGUGUAACCAACUCUCCCAAGUCCCUCGCCCUUCCUGACAAAGCAGCAUCAGCUCAGGUCCCAGCUGAGCUCUCGUUUCUCACUGCUGCAGGGCAAUGCUCGGAGAUGUGCACAGCGCAGGGGAUGACAAUUUGCUGACCUGGACAGGGACCAAGUGUGUGUGUCCUGGUUGGGUGGCUGCAUAACGCUGCCAGCAUGUAUAUAUUAUCCAUCUCUCCCCACCCUGGCCUAACCCAGAUGCUGCAUGACUGAUUGUACCCCAGAGAAGCUCCAGCCUCUUCAGGACAAACUAUGGAAUAACCACCAGCCUUGGGUAAAAGAAACAUGUGCAAGUCCCAGCUCCAGCGGAAGUGCAGAUUUCUUACAUAUAAAAAACCAGCACAGUAAAAUAGGAGCGAAUGAUUCUGUGCUCACCCAGUGCACGGAAAACUGCAAAGCAAGGCUUUCAGCGAGAUCCUCCCUGUGUAAGCAAGGAGUCUAUUGUCAGCCUGUUUCCCAGUUCUCAGGAAACAGAACCAGACUUAAGGACUCGCUGUGUGGCAAGCGAGAGUGCUUUUUGAAAAGUGAUGUUGAAAACUCGUGCAGGGAGGGACAGCCCUUCCCCAUGUGCCCUCACCACAGGGAGUGCACUGCUGGCAAAGGCAGAGCUGUUGUCAGUGGGAGAACCAAAGCUCUCCAGUCGCAGACAGACUGGGAUACCAAAGCCAUCCAGCAAACAAUUAAUAACAGCCUGGUGCUGUCAUUGUGUUGCUAA